This is a long non-coding RNA of Balaenoptera ricei (Rice's whale), 1127 nucleotides long. RefSeq lists it as uncharacterized. The record is from RefSeq and is a predicted model, not a curated record. The transcript is spliced from 4 exons. NCBI's taxonomy places the organism in Eukaryota, Metazoa, Chordata, Mammalia, Artiodactyla, Balaenopteridae.
CUGGCAGUGGCAGGCGGCACAGGCUCCCGAGAAGGGCAGUGUGGAGAGUGACCUGUGCUCGCACACAGGCUUCUUGGUGGCGGCAGCAGCAGCCUUAACAUCUCACGCCUGUCUCUGGGGUCCGCGCUGAUAGCCGCAGUUCAUGCCCGUCUCUGGAGCUCUUUAAGCGGCGCUGUUAAUCCCCUCUCCUCGCUCACCAGGAAACAAAGAGGUACGUGGGGAGUUUCUUGCCUUUUGGGAGGUCUGACGUCUUCUGCCAGCGUUCAGUAGGUGUUCUGCAGGAGUUGUUCCACAUGUAGAUGUAUUUCUGAUGUAUUUGUGGGGAGGAAGGUGAUCUCUGUGUCUUACUCUUCCGCCAUCUUGAAGCUCCUCCAAGAGCACUUUUAACGUGGAAAACUACUGAGAAUUCCACAUCUCCUUUUUCUAUAAUAUGAAUAUACAGAUUCCCAAAGACACCUAGAAAAUGCAUCAGAAGAAAAACAGGACAAGGAGAAGAAAGGAGAUAGAAGAAAGAGGAGAGCAAAUUCUGAAGGCUUCCAAUUGCUAAGGAUCAAUCCAUGUGCCUCCUAAAACCCUCCAUGGUGACUGCUUAGACGUUUACAAGCUGAUCUUAAAAUUCAUAUAGAAAUGCAAGAGACCUAGAAGAGUCAAAACAAUCUUGAAAAAGACCAAAGUUUAAGGACUCAUGCUUUCCAAUUUCAAAACUUAUUGCGGUACUGGCAUACAUACAGAUAGAUGUAUAGUUCAAUGGAAUAAAAUUGAGUUUAGAAAUAAAUCCAUGCAUAUUUGUUUGAUUGAUUUUUGACAGAGGUACUAAGACAAUUCAAUAGGGGGGAAGAAUAGUGUUUUCAACAAAUGGUGUGGAACAACUAGAUAGCCACAUGAAAAAGAAUAAAGUUGAACACACACUUCACACCAUAUACACAAAAUUAACUCAAAAUGGAUCAUAGACCUAAAUAUAAGGGCAAAGACUAUAAGACUCACAGAAGAAACCUAAAAGUAAGACUUUGUAACCUUGGGUUGGACAUGGCACCCAAAGCACAAAUGAAGAAAAAAAAAAUUGAAUUAAAUAAAUAGUGGCUCUGUAAAUGAUACCAUCAAGAAAGUGAAAAGACAAUUCACAGAAU